CAGUCGAACGAUGAACCGGUUUCGGCCGGGGAUUAGUGGCGAACGGGUGAGUAACACGUGGGCAAUCUGCCCUUCACUCUGGGACAAGCCCUGGAAACGGGGUCUAAUACCGGAUAUGACGCACGACCGCAUGGUCUGUGUGUGGAAAGCUCCGGCGGUGAAGGAUGAGCCCGCGGCCUAUCAGCUUGUUGGUGGGGUGAUGGCCUACCAAGGCGACGACGGGUAGCCGGCCUGAGAGGGCGACCGGCCACACUGGGACUGAGACACGGCCCAGACUCCUACGGGAGGCAGCAGUGGGGAAUAUUGCACAAUGGGCGAAAGCCUGAUGCAGCGACGCCGCGUGAGGGAUGACGGCCUUCGGGUUGUAAACCUCUUUCAGCAGGGAAGAAGCGAGAGUGACGGUACCUGCAGAAGAAGCGCCGGCUAACUACGUGCCAGCAGCCGCGGUAAUACGUAGGGCGCAAGCGUUGUCCGGAAUUAUUGGGCGUAAAGAGCUCGUAGGCGGCUUGUCGCGUCGGAUGUGAAAGCCCGGGGCUUAACCCCGGGUCUGCAUUCGAUACGGGCAGGCUAGAGUUCGGUAGGGGAGAUCGGAAUUCCUGGUGUAGCGGUGAAAUGCGCAGAUAUCAGGAGGAACACCGGUGGCGAAGGCGGAUCUCUGGGCCGAUACUGACGCUGAGGAGCGAAAGCGUGGGGAGCGAACAGGAUUAGAUACCCUGGUAGUCCACGCCGUAACGUUGGGAACUAGG
This 746-nucleotide ribosomal RNA is filed under the name Streptomyces sp. KIB 0393. RNAcentral describes it as "bacterial SSU rRNA". It matches the Rfam family "Bacterial small subunit ribosomal RNA", at positions 59 to 820 of the family's 1533-position model. Lineage: Bacteria; Bacillati; Actinomycetota; Actinomycetes; Kitasatosporales; Streptomycetaceae. The record is from RNAcentral.